UCACACAUACAUGCCAACAUCCCCAAGAGGUAGUCCGCCGAGACGUUCACACAUACAUGCCAACAUCCCCAAGAGGUAGUCCGCCGAGACGUUCACACAUACAUGCCAACAUCCCCAAGAGGUAGUCCGCCGAGACGUUCACACAUACAUGCCAACAUCCCCAAGAGGUAGUCCGCCGAGACGUUCACACAUACAUGCCAACAUCCCCAAGAGGUAGUCCGCCGAGACGUUCA
Long non-coding RNA from Oncorhynchus keta (chum salmon), 233 nucleotides. RefSeq lists it as uncharacterized. The transcript is spliced from 4 exons. The record is from RefSeq and is a predicted model, not a curated record. Lineage: Eukaryota; Metazoa; Chordata; Actinopteri; Salmoniformes; Salmonidae.